AUGGGCCGACGAGCCACUAGGAUGAUGCCGGGAGAGGAGGGUUUUACUUCUGCCUCGGCUACAACAAACACAGGUAGAGCGGGCCGACGAGCGACCAGGAUGAUGCCGGGAGAGGAGGGCCACGUGGACUCGUCUUUGACUGGUUUUGCUACGGCCUCGGCAACAACAAGCACACAUCAGGUAAUGAAUAAAUGCAGUGAGCUAUCACUGGAGCAAAUGCGCGGGAAAGCUAAACUUUCAUUGCUGGAAGAUGUAGCUGAUUCGCCAAUCAAAUUAUCUGCAAUCUCGACAGUGGUGGUUGCCUCUUCGUCAUUUCAGGAGAUGAUAAUCUCAAGUGGGAAAAAGCCUGGGAAGUCACAGGCUGAAAGGGAAAGGAGUUGA
RNAcentral lists this ribosomal RNA (381 nucleotides) under Triticum aestivum (bread wheat). RNAcentral describes it as "partial small subunit ribosomal RNA". Lineage: Eukaryota; Viridiplantae; Streptophyta; Magnoliopsida; Poales; Poaceae. The record is from RNAcentral.